RNAcentral lists this ribosomal RNA (1148 nucleotides) under Peptoniphilus lacrimalis. RNAcentral describes it as "bacterial SSU rRNA". It matches the Rfam family "Bacterial small subunit ribosomal RNA", at positions 173 to 1349 of the family's 1533-position model. The record is from RNAcentral. Lineage: Bacteria; Bacillati; Bacillota; Tissierellia; Tissierellales; Peptoniphilaceae.
AACUAUCAAAUCACAUGAUUAAGAAAGUUAAAACUCCGGUGGUAAAAGAUGGACUCGCGUCCCAUUAGCUAGUUGGUGAAGGUAACGGCCCACCAAGGCAACGAUGGGUAGCCGGCCUGAGAGGGUGAACGGCCACAUUGGAACUGAGAAACGGUCCAAACUCCUACGGGAGGCAGCAGUGGGGAAUAUUGCACAAUGGGGGAAACCCUGAUGCAGCGACGCCGCGUGAGCGAAGAAGGCCUUCGGGUCGUAAAGCUCUUUUAUAUGGGAAGAUAAUGACGGUACCAUAAGAAAAAGCCCCGGCUAACUACGUGCCAGCAGCCGCGGUAAUACGUAGGGGGCUAGCGUUGUCCGGAAUCACUGGGCGUAAAGGGUUCGCAGGCGGCAAUGCAAGUCAGAUGUAAAAGGCAAAGGCUCAACCUUUGUAAGCAUCUGAAACUGUAUAGCUUGAGAAGUGUAGAGGCAAGUGGAAUUUUUAGUGUAGCGGUGAAAUGCGUAGAUAUUAAAAAGAAUACCGGUGGCGAAGGCGACUUGCUGGGCACAAUCUGACGCUGAGGAACGAAAGCGUGGGGAGCAAACAGGAUUAGAUACCCUGGUAGUCCACGCCGUAAACGAUGAGUGCUAGGUGUCGGUAUAAAUCGGUGCCGCAGUUAACACAAUAAGCACUCCGCCUGGGGAGUACGUGCGCAAGCAUGAAACUCAAAGGAAUUGACGGGGACCCGCACAAGCAGCGGAGCAUGUGGUUUAAUUCGAAGCAACGCGAAGAACCUUACCAGGGCUUGACAUAUAAGAGACGAACUUAGAGAUAAGUUUUCUUCUUCGGAAGCCCUUAUACAGGUGGUGCAUGGUUGUCGUCAGCUCGUGUCGUGAGAUGUUGGGUUAAGUCCCGCAACGAGCGCAACCCUUAUUACUAGUUACCAGCAUUUCGGAUGGGGACUCUAGAAAGACUGCCGAUGAUAAAUCGGAGGAAGGUGGGGAUGACGUCAAAUCAUCAUGCCCUAUAUGCCCUGGGCAACACACGUGCUACAAUGGCCGUAACAAAGAGAAGCGAAAUCGCAAGGUCAAGCAAACCUCAAAAAGACGGUCUCAGUUCGGAUUGUUCUCUGCAACUCGAGAACAUGAAGUCGGAGUUGCUAGUAAUCGCAGAU